This 362-nucleotide ribosomal RNA is filed under the name uncultured bacterium. RNAcentral describes it as "bacterial SSU rRNA". It matches the Rfam family "Bacterial small subunit ribosomal RNA", at positions 424 to 803 of the family's 1533-position model. The record is from RNAcentral.
UGUAAACUUCUAUCAGCAGGGAAGAAAAUGACGGUACCUGACUAAGAAGCCCCGGCUAACUACGUGCCAGCAGCCGCGGUAAUACGUAGGGGGCAAGCGUUAUCCGGAUUUACUGGGUGUAAAGGGAGCGUAGACGGAAGAGCAAGUCUGAUGUGAAAGGCUGGGGCUUAACCCCAGGACUGCAUUGGAAACUGUUUUUCUAGAGUGCCGGAGAGGUAAGCGGAAUUCCUAGUGUAGCGGUGAAAUGCGUAGAUAUUAGGAGGAACACCAGUGGCGAAGGCGGCUUACUGGACGGUAACUGACGUUGAGGCUCGAAAGCGUGGGGAGCAAACAGGAUUAGAUACCCUGGUAGUCCACGCCGU